Molecule: ribosomal RNA, 569 nt
Filed under: uncultured bacterium
Lineage: Bacteria
Description: partial 16S ribosomal RNA
Rfam family: Bacterial small subunit ribosomal RNA
Source: RNAcentral
UGGGAAUUUGGACAAUGGGCGAAAGCCUGAUCCAGCAAUGCCGCGUGUGUGAAGAAGGCCUUCGGGUUGUAAAGCACUUUUGUCCGGAAAGAAAUCCUUGGCUCUAAUACAGUCGGGGGAUGACGGUACCGGAAGAAUAAGCACCGGCUAACUACGUGCCAGCAGCCGCGGUAAUACGUAGGGUGCAAGCGUUAAUCGGAAUUACUGGGCGUAAAGCGUGCGCAGGCGGUUUGCUAAGACCGAUGUGAAAUCCCCGGGCUCAACCUGGGAACUGCAUUGGUGACUGGCAGGCUAGAGUAUGGCAGAGGGGGGUAGAAUUCCACGUGUAGCAGUGAAAUGCGUAGAGAUGUGGAGGAAUACCGAUGGCGAAGGCAGCCCCCUGGGCCAAUACUGACGCUCAUGCACGAAAGCGUGGGGAGCAAACAGGAUUNGAUACCCUGGUAGUCACGCCCUAAACGAUGUCAACUAGUUGUGGGGAUUGCAUUUCCUUAGUAACGUAGCUAACGCGUGAAGUUGACCGCCUGGGGAGUACGGUCGCAAGAUUAAAACUCAAAUGAAUUGNCGGGGUC